Molecule: long non-coding RNA, 761 nt
Filed under: Salmo salar (Atlantic salmon)
Lineage: Eukaryota; Metazoa; Chordata; Actinopteri; Salmoniformes; Salmonidae
Description: lncRNA (ENSSSAG00000098030.1)
Source: RNAcentral
AACAAGAACAAGCUAUUGGAACAUAAAGGAUUAACUUUUUCGAACGAAAAUACAUUUGUUGUGGACCUGGGAUUCCUAGAAGUGCUUUCUGAUGAAGAUAAUCAAAGGGUCAUCGCUGAGGAAGGCCUGAAGUAUGAGGAGGACCAUGAGUUCAUGGACUUCUUGAUGGAAGGUGCUUUUGAUGAGGAGCUACUUGGUGAAGACGAGGGUGAAGAGUAUGAGACACACACAUAGGACAGACAGGUGAACAUCGACUGGCAGAGAAGCAGCUGAACUGUUUGUCCCCUAAACCUCCGAGCUGUACAUGCUGUACAUACCAAGCUGAUGGUGCAGGUUGUAGAAAUGGUCUAGCCUGGUCCCAGAUCUGUUUAUGCUGACAUGCUAACUCCUAACGUAUGAUAGUUGUCAUGCCAUGUUACCAUAGCAUUGGGCUAUACAUAGGAGUUGGCUAUGUACAGAAGCACAAACAGAUUGAAGACCAAGGUAACAUUUGGCUGAUUGUCAGAACGGAAAGAGUGAAACUUCAAUGUAUUGUACUUGAGGACUACUCUAGAAAUGUUUGGCUUUGUUACAGGAAAGUUCGAAAUGAGAAUAUGACAUAGUUUGCUUCUGUGGAAACUGAAUGCGAGGGCAAGUAGUUGUGUAUGAUUUUAUGGUUAUGAUAGUGAUGUACCUUGCACUUUGUUUUUAGGUUUGAAUGAGACAAUGUAUUCCUCUAACCUUACUGUUUUAUUAAUAUUAUCUUACUUGUGUAUGUGUAG